RNAcentral lists this ribosomal RNA (410 nucleotides) under uncultured bacterium. RNAcentral's name for it is "bacterial SSU rRNA". It matches the Rfam family "Bacterial small subunit ribosomal RNA", at positions 102 to 509 of the family's 1533-position model. The record is from RNAcentral.
ACGGGUGAGUAAUACAUCGGAACGUGCCCGAUCGUGGGGGAUAACGCAGCGAAAGCUGUGCUAAUACCGCAUACGAUUACGGAUGAAAGCGGGGGAUCGCAAGACCUCGCGCGGACGGAGCGGCCGAUGGCAGAUUAGGUAGUUGGUGGGAUAAAAGCUUACCAAGCCGACGAUCUGUAGCUGGUCUGAGAGGACGACCAGCCACACUGGGACUGAGACACGGCCCAGACUCCUACGGGAGGCAGCAGUGGGGAAUUUUGGACAAUGGGCGAAAGCCUGAUCCAGCCAUGCCGCGUGCAGGAUGAAGGCCUUCGGGUUGUAAACUGCUUUUGUACGGAACGAAAAAGUCUUCUCUAAUACGGGGGGCGAAUGACGGUACCGUAAGAAUAAGCACCGGCUAACUACGUGCC